UUCUGUGUUGUCUGCACCUUGAGCUAGCAACUCCCAGGGACAUGGGUCACUCUGGGUGCUGUCUGUAUGAAAAUGUCAUGGUCUUUUUGUGGGAGAAAAUUCUUCUAUUUCUAUUUCAUGGUAGCUCUCUGGAAGGAUGCACAGACCAAAAUAGCCUGUAGCAAAUGGCAUUAUAUGAAGCAGGACUGGACUGUGAAGGCAUCAAGCUAAAUGGAUCUACUAGGUUGGAGUGGGUUCAUUUUAUUUUUUACAAUGUUUUUGUUUUUAUGGCCAUGGUGUGCAGCAGCUUGAUGUGGGCUCUCAGUUCCCAGAUCAGAGAUUGAACUCAGGCUUCAACUGAACCACUAGAUCACCAGGGAACUCCUGGAGUUGAUUCAUUUUAAAUGCAAAGGACGUGGAGUUCCCGUCAUGGCUCAGUGGAAAUGAAUCCAACUAGUACCCCUGAAGAUGCAGGGAUUGAACCCGAAUCCUCAUGGAUCAUAGUCAGGUUCAUUAUCGCUGAGCCACAAUGGGAACUCCUGCUCUAGUGUCUUGAAUGUCCACUGUCAAAUUUAGAACUAGCAUACAUCUCUCCUGAGCUUGUUUGUCUCUGAAAAUUCUAAUGUUUGAAACUCUGCAAAUGUAGGUACUUUGUAUUGGAUUGCAUUAAGCUUGAUAAGAGGUUAACAUUUGCAGUCUAGGGCUUGGGCUAAAGAGAGCUUCACUAUUGAUCUGGGAAUAGUCUUGAAGACAGUGAGCAUUGCUAGGCUAUUUCCAUUGGUCUUUAUUUUAGGGAUUUAGGGCAGCACACUGUGCAGAGUGUGUCAGGGAACUUUUGCACACUCUCUCACCCUCCAGUGGACUGUAAGAGGUUCUUCCAGGCUCUGUAAGCUGUGUGUAGAGACUUUUGCUGUUACCAUCUGCAGUGUGGUGCAAAUGAGUUACGUAAGAGAAUUACAUUCUCCCGGCAAAGGUGUCAGCCCCACUGUUAUUGCCAACAGAGGCAUUAGUGUGCGCCUUUAAUGGGAUGCAGUUAUAUUUUCCACAAUAAGGCUAAUCUUUCAGCCUCUUCAUUGUGAGAUGAGACUGGAAGCUCUCUUUAUGGACAGGGGUAAGAUGGUGCAACUAAAAGGCCAUUAUGCCCUGAUUAUAAACCAUAUUUCAAAAUUAUUGCUACAUACAGUGUUAACAGGACUCCAGUGCUGCUGGGAAGAUAAUCCAGAGUAUAUCCAUUUUGGAAUUCCCCUUGUGGUUCAGUGGGUUCAGAACUCAGCUAACAUCUAUGAGGGUGCAGGUUUGAUCCCUAGCCCCGCUCAGUGAGUUAAGGAUCCCGAGUUGCUCUGAGGUGUGGUGUAGGCCGGCAGCUGCCAGCUUUGAUUUGACCCCUAGCCUGGGAACUUACAUAUGGCGUGAGUGUGGCCCUAAAAAGAUAAAUAAAUAAUGAAAUAGUAUGUCUCUCCCUCUCAAAAAGACCAAAAAAAAAAAAAAA
RNAcentral lists this long non-coding RNA (1468 nucleotides) under Sus scrofa (pig). Its description in RNAcentral is "lncRNA (ENSSSCG00050009318.1)". Lineage: Eukaryota; Metazoa; Chordata; Mammalia; Artiodactyla; Suidae. The record is from RNAcentral.